Molecule: ribosomal RNA, 433 nt
Filed under: uncultured bacterium
Lineage: Bacteria
Description: partial 16S ribosomal RNA
Rfam family: Bacterial small subunit ribosomal RNA
Source: RNAcentral
AGCGAACGCUGGCGGCAGGCCUAACACAUGCAAGUCGAACGAACUCUUCGGAGUUAGUGGCGGACGGGUGAGUAACACGUGGGAACGUGCCUUUUGGUUCGGAAUAACUCAGGGAAACUUGUGCUAAUACCGAAUGUGCCCUUCGGGGGAAAGAUUUAUCGCCAUUGGAGCGGCCCGCGUCUGAUUAGCUAGUUGGUGAGGUAACGGCUCACCAAGGCGACGAUCAGUAGCUGGUCUGAGAGGAUGACCAGCCACACUGGGACUGAGACACGGCCCAGACUCCUACGGGAGGCAGCAGUGGGGAAUCUUGCGCAAUGGGCGAAAGCCUGACGCAGCCAUGCCGCGUGAAUGAUGAAGGUCUUAGGAUUGUAAAAUUCUUUCACCGGGGACGAUAAUGACGGUACCCGGAGAAGAAGCCCCGGCUAACUUCGUG